Clupea harengus (Atlantic herring) is the source of this 302-nucleotide long non-coding RNA. NCBI's taxonomy places the organism in Eukaryota, Metazoa, Chordata, Actinopteri, Clupeiformes, Clupeidae. The record is from Ensembl.
CGUGCCGAUAUUAUCGUGCAUCCCUACUUAGCUUGUGUGUGUGUAGGUCUGGUUGUGUGUGUAGGCCAGGUUGUGUGUGUGUGUAGGUCUGGUUGUGUGUGUGUGUGUAGAUAAGGUUGUGUGUGUGUAGGUCAGGUUGUGUGUGUGUAGAUUAAGUUGUGUGUGUGUAGGUCAGGUUGUGUGUGUGUAGAUUAAGUUGUGUGUGUGUAACUCCGGUUGUGUGAGAGCAGGUCAGGUUGUGUGGGUGUAGAGAAUCAGUGAAGAGAGUUCAUGUGUGACGUGUGUGUGUGUGUGUGUGUGUG